Molecule: RNA transcript, 3737 nt
Organism: Neogale vison (American mink)
Lineage: Eukaryota; Metazoa; Chordata; Mammalia; Carnivora; Mustelidae
Gene name: A-kinase anchor protein 10, mitochondrial-like
Exons: 4
Source: RefSeq, a predicted model, not a curated record
UCACUCUACAACUUGGUCCCGAAUAAGAGCACACAGUCUCAGCACCGUGAAGCAUAGUGCAUUGGCUGAGCCUGUCUCUCCAUCUAAGAAGCAUGAAACUGCAACAUCUUUUGUAACUGAGUCUCUUGACAAGCGAUUGGAGGAUUCAAGCUCAGCUCAACUGCUUAUGACUCAAUCCGAAGGAAUUGACCUGAACAAUAGAACUAGCAACAUUCAGAAUCACUUGCUGCUUUCCCGAGAAUGUGACAGUGCCCAUUCUCUCCAUCUUGAAAUGGCCAGAACAGGAACGCAUCCAGUUUCCAUGGAAAUCCAAGAAUCCUCCUCUAGACUUCUAGUAGCCAGUAGAAAUAGUCCCUCUUCACCACUGAAGGAAUUAUCAGGAAAAUUAAUGAAAACAGCUAUGUACGGGUCUGGCACAUGGAUGGAUACGACGGUCUCUUUAAGUUGUGCCCAGUCUUCUGUUAUUAUACUGCACACUUGUGGGAUAAAUUAUGAUGGAUUCCGCCAAGUUGCCCUCAGAGAAGUUUUUCAAUCUUUUUUUUUUUUUUUUUAAGUUUUUCGAUCUUAUACUCCUCCCAACUUGCCCCAUGUGAGGGACCAGCUCCCCCCACGUUCAUAAGAGCAUCUGCAGAGUUUCACAGAGCAACACGAUUCUGUCCACACCCUGGGGCUCCGGCACUCCAAACAGACUAUUUUUAGUAAGGAAAAAAAUUUUUUUUUUUUUUUUAAGGCGAAACGGCACUUCUGUAUUUUUGGAUGUGCUUCCUAAGAAAAUAAGACGUAAUAACAAAGCAAUCUGUUCUAAGGAAUUUUGUUCCCUGACCAAGUUUAAUUUAUAUGAGAUAAUCUUCAACCCGAUCUUAACCUCUCCCUCCCGGAAAGACUGAAUUCAGUCUCUAAAAUCAUCAGCUUCUAUGGCUAGACUAUUUCUUUUUCCCAGAUGAACAUUUCAUGCACAAAAGAAUGGAAAAAAAUACUCAGUGCUGAUUUCACUUGGGACUGUUAUUAUCUAAAUAGACUUGCAUGCUGUCCUGGGAGAUCGAGUGGUAACAGCAGCGAACAUCAAGGCCUCGUCUCUCUUAAUGAUGGCAAGAUAAUGGCUUUCGGUGUUGGAUGGUGCCAGCUACAAUGCCAGCUGCUGGCAUAUUUAUCUAGGGAGGGCUUCCGGCAGGACAAAGGAUCCACAGGGAGGAGAAAGGACAAAGACACUUUAAAUCCACCUCAGUUCACAGCAGGAGGAAACACUCUUCCAUUUAAUUUUGAAAAUUAUGCUUUUACUUCCUGAAGCCAGCAGGACAUCUAGUGUCUCUAUACAUAAAAAAAUUGUGUGUGCCGGCAAUGUUGGAAUGCAGGUGAUUUCCUUCAAAUGAUCCCCUACAACCAGAAGACUCAGCUAACUCAGAGCUCGAGAGCCCAAAUUGGUGAACACAACACUUUCCUCUUCCUUAGUGACAAGGAGGACUGACCGAGUCUCCAGUUUCUAGUAGGUGGCGGUGAUAUGGGGGAUGGGGUGUGGUCUACAUUCCAUUCCUCUGAGAAAAGGGAGGAGAAAUCAAACAGCUAAAUAGUCGCGUUAGAAAAGGCUGACCUCCCACACUGGCGACAGAUAUGGGUCUAAUUCAGUCAGCUACAAGGCUGUUACAGGUUUUGAAGACAUGGUGGCAAGCCCCCCCCCCGCCCACCCCCAAGCCAUUGCUGCAGUGUCGCUGGUGCGAGUUCACCCACAAGGAAGAAGGAUGGAUGCCAAAAGCAGAAUGGGAGACACACAGAUGAACCUGAGGACAUUACAUAAGGAGACAUAAACCUGACAAGAAGGCUGGAUGAUUCCACUCACGUGAGGGCAUACUGCACAGAACUUUCUUCUUUUUCUGCACAUGAGCCGUGUGAGAUGAAGAACCAGACCAUGAGUCAGUGGAAGACUAGAAUGUCACACAUCUCCUGAAUUCCUGUUUACACCAGGGUCUACCAAAUACUUGAACAGAGUGCUAAGUCAAUGAUAAACAAAUGGCCAUCCACUCAGAAAAAAAGUUACAGUUCUACAUAGCAAAAUAAACACAAACUGCAAAAAAGAAAGAUUUAAAUAUUUUAACAAGGAUGAUCUGGAACCUGUGUGAUGGGUAUAAGCUAGUAUUUUAAUGUAUGAAGAGCUCUGAGACUUCAAGGUGAAGAAAGCAGAUUGAACACAUGGGCUUAUUUUCUUUCCCUCUUGAAGCCCCAAGAAGACCACAGAAACCAGAGCUUGCUUGUUCCCCCCAAAGGUAUUAAGAAGAGCAAAAAAGGAAAGAGGAAAGGAAACAAAAUUCUGGCACCUGAAAAGCAGACAGACAGAAGUAACUAACAUAACAGAGCUAACAAAAUGAAAUCCCAAGCCAGCAGUGGAGAUGGAGAAGAGCAAAUAUCCAACUUGAUUUUAGUGCAAAAUUUCCCAAAGGCUCAGGAAAUGGGAUGGCAUGGGGCGUGCUUCAGGAGGUGAGAAGGGAGGUGGUUAAAACAGAGUUGGCUUGGAAGUCCGUCUACAAGGCCAUUCGAGUCAAGUGAAGCCGAGGGAGUAAAACAGGGUCUCUCGACAGGGUGGAUAGUGGGCAUGACUCUUCUAGAUUUAAAAACAAAUUCUCAGUAAACUCAAAGCAAAGGCAAGCUUCCGUUAGUUAAGAGCAUUUAUCAGCAAAUGACUGUGAAAAUUAGUAAAGGGAAUCCUUACUAAAGUGGAGCAGGAGAGAUCGAGGGAAAGGCUGGAAGGCGGAGCCUACCACCCAAUGUCAAUUGCAGGAAAAAUUGUCAAUUGCAGAGGUCAGAAGAACCUUCAACAGGAAAGAAUUGUCCAUUACAGGAUGGACACAGCAUCUCCUGCAAGAAACCGACUACCCCUUCAACUCAGUCAGUGACAGAGAAGCUGUGGUCACCCUGAACUUUUGCUUUUUCUCCAAUGGACUUUUGUUCAAAACAACUCCUCCCAACUUCCCCUUCUCCAUAAAAUAACGUUUCUCUCUUGAUUUUUUUUGGACUUCUCUAUGGUUUUGCUAUAGUUUGCUUGUCCCAAAUUGCAAUUCUGUGUUUUCCUGAAUAAACCCACUUUCUGCUGGUAAAAUGACUAUCUUACUUUUAAGGUUAACACAAUAUAAAAAUGACAUUUCAUGGCGAGGCAUGAGGGAUUGCCCUGAAAACAGGGGAAUCAAGGGGACUUUGCAGGGUGCACAGGCGGUCGACUGACCCUCCAAUUCCCUGUGCUCCUCUCUGGUCCACUCCCCCAAACACUGGCUAUCAGGCUGGCGCCUUCAGCCAGAAGAUAGGGAGGUCCUUCUCCGGGGAAUCUGACCAGCCCAACAGGACAGACCUGAAGACACAGAUACCAGGCGUCCAUCAAGGACAUGACAGAGGCACAGCACUCUACAGUGAUGACCACAGUCGCAAGCCUCACACAUGAGCUUGGAGCCACUGGUCAGCUUUGGAGAGUCCCACACUUACAUGAGAGCAACAGUUAAGGACCACUGCUUUUCUGAUUAAAUAUCUAGCACACAGAGAUCAAGCAAUACCCACAAAACAAAGAAACCUGGAGGAAAGGACUUAGGCAGGGAAAAGAUUUGGGGAUAAAAGUGACAUACAGUUCUGGGCAAGAGUAACAGAAGAUAUCCCAUCUGUGAAACAAAACCAGAAAUGCUAUAAAAAAUUCAGGGUCCGUGGGGUGCCUGGGGGGUCUCAGUCUUUGUGAUUGCCUUCUGCUCAGGUGAUGGUCCCAG